This 70-nucleotide transfer RNA is filed under the name Sternopygus dariensis. RNAcentral's name for it is "tRNA-Arg". It matches the Rfam family "tRNA". Rfam says of the family: Transfer RNA (tRNA) molecules are approximately 80 nucleotides in length. The record is from RNAcentral. RNAcentral also lists the same sequence under 1 other name. Lineage: Eukaryota; Metazoa; Chordata; Actinopteri; Gymnotiformes; Sternopygidae.
AGGGAGGUAGUCCAAAACAAGACCUUUGAUUUCGGCUCAAAAAACCGUGGUUUAAUUCCACGCCCCCCUU